UUAUUAUUCUUAGUAACAUUUCCUAGUCAGGACUGAGGGACCUCAGCAGAAGAAGGUAAGUUUGGCAUGCUUAGCUCUUACCUGUCUGAAGCACUCCUGGUAGUCAGCGGGCAGUCCCAUGGAAGUCACCUGGAUUUUGGGAAGUUAAACAAAAACACUGCUCACAAGACCGCAACUUGAUGUCUCUCAGUCUUCUAACAGGAUUACAGGUGGGAUUUCUUCCCAGUCCCAGGAUAAGGAACAUUAACAAAAAGACUCUCUCAAAGCCAGAUCUCCCCUUUUUUGAACUGUUUAAAUAACACGGUCUUGUUUACGGACUGCAGUGAACCGAGGUGCUAUCAGCAUGCCAACAAGACUCGCAGUCCGCCCCAGUCAUUCACUCCACUGCUAGAAAACGCACAGGCGAAAUACCAGCCCAUUUUUUAUUAUUUUGGAGACGUGCCACGAAUUCCCGAUUCCCGGUCUUAAAUCACCUCGCACUCUGCGGAGACAGUACCCAGGGAUCUCUUCCCCAGCCAGCGCAGCACGGCCUUCGGCAGGAAGCUGAACAACGCCCAGCAGCUAAAAUCAAGUGUUUCAGAGCAGAGGGUGGCGAGCUGGGUGCUCUCAGAUUUCCAAGGGGGGUUAGCUAGGCAGAGUGUAAUUACCCUGUCCAAAGCUUAGAUGUUCGUUGAAAAGUGCUCCAGGAUCUGUAACAGCCGUAGGCAGCCAAGACCUGUGUGCAGGAGUGUUCCCUUGGAUUUUCAGUCCAGGUGCUAAACUGUCCUGCUCCUGCUUAGUUUGGGCUGUGUGAAUGCAUAUAAUCUCACCGUGGUGCUAUAAAUUUUCUCUGGUUUAUCUCACUUAAGGGUCUCCCUAGUCACAGUUCAUUAUAGGAGCUAGCAGCUCAGAGAAAGUCUAGGGAGAGAAGAUUUUUCUGUUAAAGCCAACCAUGGAUCCAUUUUAAAGUUCUAGUGAGUAAAGACAAUCCCUCACACCUGUAGCUUGUCUGGCCUAGUAGAAAUAAAAGGGGAGGAAGGAGAGUGUGAAAUAGAAUA
RNAcentral lists this long non-coding RNA (1037 nucleotides) under Parus major (Great Tit). RNAcentral's name for it is "lncRNA (ENSPMJG00000014741.1)". The record is from RNAcentral. Lineage: Eukaryota; Metazoa; Chordata; Aves; Passeriformes; Paridae.